This 492-nucleotide ribosomal RNA is filed under the name uncultured bacterium. RNAcentral describes it as "partial 16S ribosomal RNA". It matches the Rfam family "Bacterial small subunit ribosomal RNA", at positions 29 to 507 of the family's 1533-position model. The record is from RNAcentral.
AGUGAACGCUGGCGGUAGGCCUAACACAUGCAAGUCGAACGGCCGCACAGUAAGAGCUUGCUCUUACGGUUGGCGAGUGGCGGACGGGUAAGGAAUACAUCGGAAUCUACUUUUUCGUGGGGGAUAACGUAGGGACACUUACGCUAAUACCGCAUACGACCUACGGGUGAAAUCAGGAGAUCUUCGGACCUUGCGCGAUUGAAUGAGACGAUGUCGGAUUAGCUAGUUGGCGGGGUAAAGGCCCACCAAGGCGACGAUCCGUAGCUGGUCUGAGAGGAUGAUCAGCCACACUGGAACUGAGACACGGUCCAGACUCCUACGGGAGGCAGCAGUGGGGAAUAUUGGACAAUGGGCGCAAGCCUGAUCCAGCCAUACCGCGUGGGUGAAGAAGGCCUUCGGGUUGUAAAGCCCUUUUAUUGGGAAAGAAAAGCAGCAGGUGAAUACCCCGCUGUUCUGACGGUACCCAAAGAAUAAGCACCGGCUAACUUCGUG